UCGAUUACGCUGUCCCUGCCUGCUCACUCCAUGCAAGUCGAGCGAACUGAUUAGAAGCUUGCUUCUAUGACGUUAGCGGCGGACGGGUGAGUAACACGUGGGCAACCUGCCUGUAAGACUGGGAUAACUUCGGGAAACCGAAGCUAAUACCGGAUAGGAUCUUCUCCUUCAUGGGAGAUGAUUGAAAGAUGGUUUCGGCUAUCACUUACAGAUGGGCCCGCGGUGCAUUAGCUAGUUGGUGAGGUAACGGCUCACCAAGGCAACGAUGCAUAGCCGACCUGAGAGGGUGAUCUGUCACACUGGGACUGAGACACGGCCCAGACUCCUACGGGAGGCAGCAGUAGGGAAUCUUCCGCAAUGGACGAAAGUCUGACGGAGCAACGCCGCGUGAGUGAUGAAGGCUUUCGGGUCGUAAAACUCUGUUGUUAGGGAAGAACAAGUACGAGAGUAACUGCUUGUACCUUGACGGUACCUAACCAGAAAGCCACGGCUAACUACGUGCCAGCAGCCGCGGUAAUACGUAGGUGGCAAGCGUUAUCCGGAAUUAUUGGGCGUAAAGCGCGCGCAGGCGGUUUCUUAAGUCUGAUGUGAAAGCCCACGGCUCAACCGUGGAGGGUCAUUGGAAACUGGGGAACUUGAGUGCAGAAGAGAAAAGCGGAAUUCCACGUGUAGCGGUGAAAUGCGUAGAGAUGUGGAGGAACACCAGUGGCGAAGGCGGCUUUUUGGUCUGUAACUGACGCUGAGGCGCGAAAGCGUGGGUAGCAACAGGAUAGAUCACCCCCCUGGUAGUCCA
Molecule: ribosomal RNA, 793 nt
Filed under: Priestia megaterium
Lineage: Bacteria; Bacillati; Bacillota; Bacilli; Caryophanales; Bacillaceae
Description: bacterial SSU rRNA
Rfam family: Bacterial small subunit ribosomal RNA
Source: RNAcentral